UUUUGCUCCUUCUCUUCUUCUUUUUUAGUCAUAUCGGUCUUUUCUUCUCCAUCUUCUUAAAGUUCUCAACUUCAAAUACAAGAAAAAGUGAAGAUUGAAGAUGAAACUACCAAUAGAGGUUGAAGAUUUGGAAGUUCAGCCUCAAGUAGAAAAUUCUACAAUAGAUAAAACUCAAGCAAAAGGUAAUUAUUUUUCAAAAACUUCUUCUUUGAACAAUCCUCUGAAUCCUAUGAAGAAAUAAAAAAAAAAUCUGGACUCGGGAGAAAGUGCUAGAAAAAUCUCUGAAGUUUAGGAUCAUUUUUCAGAGAUUACUAGUAAAGUGGGUGAAGUGAAGGCAAAAUGUAACUAUUGUUUCAAAGACUUUGCUUGGACUAGUAAGAAUGAGAUUUCUUAUCUUUGGGA
Molecule: long non-coding RNA, 402 nt
Organism: Solanum pennellii
Lineage: Eukaryota; Viridiplantae; Streptophyta; Magnoliopsida; Solanales; Solanaceae
Exons: 2
Source: RefSeq, a predicted model, not a curated record